This 253-nucleotide ribosomal RNA is filed under the name uncultured bacterium. Its description in RNAcentral is "partial 16S ribosomal RNA". It matches the Rfam family "Bacterial small subunit ribosomal RNA", at positions 524 to 776 of the family's 1533-position model. The record is from RNAcentral.
UACGAACUGUGCAAACGUUAUUCGGAAUCACUGGGCUUACAGGGUGCGUAGGCGGCCUGUCAAGUAGGGUGUGAAAGCCCCCGGCUCAACCGGGGAAUUGCGCCCUAAACUGUCGGGCUGGAGUGAGAUAGGGGUGUGUGGAACUUCCGGUGGAGCGGUGAAAUGUGUUGAUAUCGGAAGGAACGCCGGUGGCGAAAGCGACACACUGGAUCUUGUCUGACGCUGAGGCACGAAAGCCAGGGGAGCGAACGGG